AAAAAAAACAAACCCUGGUUUCUGUGCCCAACGUUUAACCGUCCGUCUUAUUUUAAAAAAUUAUGAAAAAAAAAUAAAAAGACAAAUCACGCAUAAAAUAUUAAUCAUGUUUUAUCAUCUAACAACAAUAAAAAUACGAAUUAUAAAAAAAUUUCAUAUAAGACGGACAGUCAAAGUUGGACACGGAUACCCAGGGUUUGCCUUUUU
RNAcentral lists this microRNA precursor (207 nucleotides) under Oryza rufipogon (brownbeard rice). RNAcentral describes it as "MIR812 microRNA precursor family". It matches the Rfam family "MIR812 microRNA precursor family". The record is from Rfam by way of RNAcentral. Lineage: Eukaryota; Viridiplantae; Streptophyta; Magnoliopsida; Poales; Poaceae.